ACGGAAGGCAGCAGUGGGGGAUAUUGCACAAUGGGCGAAAGCCUGAUGCAGCAAUGCCGCGUGAGGGAAGAAGGUUUUCGGAUUGUAAACCUCUGUCCCGGAUGACGAAGAUAGUGACGGUAAUCAGGGAGGAAGCCACGGCUAACUACGUGCCAGCAGCCGCGGUAAUACGUAGGUGGCAAGCGUUGUCUGGAAUUACUGGGUGUAAAGGGAGCGCAGGCGGGUAGAUAAGUCAGCGGUGAAAACUAUGGGCUCAACCCCUGGACUGCCGAUGAAACUGUUUUUCUUGAGUGAAGUAGAGGCAGGCGGAAUUCCGAGUGUAGCGGUGAAAUGCGUAGAUAUUCGGAGGAACACCAGUGGCGAAGGCGGCCUGCUGGGCUUAUACUGACGCUGAGGCUCGAAAGUGUGGGGAGCAAACAGGAUUAGAUACCCUGGUA
Molecule: ribosomal RNA, 437 nt
Filed under: uncultured Clostridium sp.
Lineage: Bacteria; Bacillati; Bacillota; Clostridia; Eubacteriales; Clostridiaceae
Description: partial 16S ribosomal RNA
Rfam family: Bacterial small subunit ribosomal RNA
Source: RNAcentral